AUGCAGCCGUUGUCUACACUGUCGGGACCCUUGGGGUGCAGAGGCCAAACUCCGUGCGCCAGGGGCGAGGCGGCUUUUCAACGUUACUCAGAAAAACCAGCAUCAUACUGCGGCCCCAGGACCACAAAAAAUGUCUCCUGUGCAGUUGGCGGAACCGAGGGACACCUCGUCCUCGAGCGGGAGCCACGCCGAAGAGCGAACACACACCACACACACCGGAGCCUGCGGGGAAGGGCGUGGAGCCGCGUGGGAGCCGCGGAGGAGAGAAGGAAAGAGCACACUAGUACCCACCCCCCCCAGCGUGUUUGGGAAAAUGUUCGCAUCCGCACAGCAGGGGGGAGGAAACAGGAAACCAGGAUCAAGACACAGGAUUGGCCCAGCAUGAACGUCCAUCAGGAAGGCCUGGUGCUUCUCUCUAGGACGGGUGGUCUAAGCCUGCUGAUGUGGGGUUUUCUGUCACUUACAAUGCACAUUCCUAGAGGACACCACUGCCCAGCCCUGGGCUUGGUCAUGAACCUUUCGUGUGGACCACUCAAAAUACACUGGAGCUCAAACACGUAA
Molecule: long non-coding RNA, 561 nt
Filed under: Oryctolagus cuniculus (rabbit)
Lineage: Eukaryota; Metazoa; Chordata; Mammalia; Lagomorpha; Leporidae
Description: lncRNA (ENSOCUG00000039237.1)
Source: RNAcentral